GGACGAUUAGCUCAGUUGGUUAGAGCAUCUCGUUUACACCGAGAGGGUCGGGGGUUCGAAUCCCUCAUCGUCCACCA
RNAcentral lists this transfer RNA (77 nucleotides) under Parcubacteria group bacterium CG1_02_58_44. Its description in RNAcentral is "tRNA-Val". It matches the Rfam family "tRNA". From Rfam's summary of the family: Transfer RNA (tRNA) molecules are approximately 80 nucleotides in length. Their secondary structure includes four short double-helical elements and three loops (D, anti-codon, and T loops). RNAcentral also lists the same sequence under 1 other name. The record is from RNAcentral.